AACGCACAUUGCGCCUGCUAGUAUUCUGGCAGGCAUGCCUGUUCGAGCGUCAUUUCAACCCUCAAGCCUUGGUUGCUUGGUGUUGGGGCGACUGCAGCCCUGCUGCAGGCCCUGAAAACAAGUGGCGGACCCCUAAGGCACCCCAGCGUAGUAAUUUUUCUUAGCUGAGGGCUCCCUGUGGAUGUCCUGCUGGUGGCAGUACCACCUACUAUAAACUUUGGUUGACCUCGGAUCAGGUAGGAAUACCCGCUGAACUUAA
This 259-nucleotide unclassified non-coding RNA is filed under the name uncultured fungus. RNAcentral describes it as "partial contains 5.8S ribosomal RNA, internal transcribed spacer 2, and large subunit ribosomal RNA". The record is from RNAcentral. Lineage: Eukaryota; Fungi.